AUGUACAUCACGCGACUUCGCUUAGCGCGUACGGCGGAUCAGCCCGCUCCCGGUAAAACGGGACGGCCCGCCAGAGGACCCCUAAAACUCUGUUUCUAUAUGUAACUUCUGAGUAAAACCAUAAAUAAAUCAAAACUUUCAACAACGGAUCUCUUGGUUCUGGCAUCGAUGAAGAACGCAGCAAAAUGCGAUAAGUAAUGUGAAUUGCAGAAUUCAGUGAAUCAUCGAAUCUUUGAACGCACAUUGCGCCCGCCAGUAUUCUGGCGGGCAUGCCUGUUCGAGCGUCAUUUCAACCCUCAAGCACAGCUUGGUGUUGGGACUCGCGUUAAUUCGCGUUCCUCAAAUUGAUUGGCGGUCACGUCGAGCUUCCAUAGCGUAGUAGUAAAACCCUCGUUACUGGUAAUCGUCGCGGCCACGCCGUUAAACCCCAACUUCUGAAUGUUGACCUCGGAUCAGGUAGGAAUACCCGCUGAACUUAAGCAUAU
This 485-nucleotide ribosomal RNA is filed under the name Fusarium sp. Y22.2.4.4. Its description in RNAcentral is "eukaryotic LSU rRNA". The stretch from base 134 to 287 matches the Rfam family "5.8S ribosomal RNA". Lineage: Eukaryota; Fungi; Ascomycota; Sordariomycetes; Hypocreales; Nectriaceae. The record is from RNAcentral.